GUGGAUUUCAUUUCUGCCUUUUAGUUUUUACUUCUUUCUUUGGAGGCAGAAAUUGGGCAUAAAACAAUAUGAGGGAUGGUCUCCUCCCUUACUGUCUUUCAGGAGAUCCAAGAACUCUCUUGGGGUCUGGAUUGGGACCUCUUUCAGUAACAGUAUUCUAGGAUUGAUUCUGGAACUUAAAAAGGAUGUUAGGGGAAAAGCUGAUCCAUGGUUUAGUGUCAGGCCUCUGAGCCCAAGCCAUCAUAUCCCCUGUGACCUGCAUGUAUGCAUCCAGGUGGCCUGAAGUAACUGAAGAAUCACAAAAGAAGUGAAAAUGGCCUGUUCCUGCCUUAACUGAUGACAUUACCUUGUGAAAUUCCUUCUCCUAGCUCAUCCUGGCUCAAAAGCUCCCCCACUGAGCACCUUGUGACCCCCGCCCCUGCCUACCAGAGAACAACCUCCUUUGACUGUAAUUUCCCACUACCUACCCAAAUCCUAUAAAACGGCCCCACCCCUAUCUCCCUUUGCUGACUCUCCUUUCGGACUCAGCCCACCUGCACCCAGGUGAAAUAAGCAGCCUUGUUGCUCACACAAAACCUGUUUGGUGGUCUCUUCACAGCAACGCGAAUGAAAUUUGGUGCCAUCACUCGGAUCAGGGGACCUCCCUUGGGAGAUCAAUCCCCUGUCCUCCUGCUCUUUGCUCCAUGAGAAAGAUCCACCUACGAUCUCUGCUCCUCAGACCAACCAGCCCAAGGAACAUCUCACCAAUUUUAAAUCGGAUCUUCUCAGCUUAGCGGCUGAAGACUGAUGCUGCCAGAUGACUUUGGAAGCCCCCUGGACCAUCACAGAUGCCCAGCUUUGGAUAACUCUUACAGUGGAGGAAGACAGGAAUAUCAGGUCUCUGAGCCCAAGCUAAGCCAUCAUAUCCCCUGUGACCUGCAUGUAUGCAUCCAGAUGGCCUGAAGUAACUGAAGAAUCACAAAAGAAGUGAAAAUGGCGCGUGCCUGCCUUAACUGAUGACAUUACCUUGUGAAAUUCCUUCUCCUGGCUCAUCCUGGCUCAAAAGCUCCCCCACUGAGCACCUUGUGACCCCCACUCCUGCCUAACAGAGAACAAUCCCCUUUGACUGUAAUUUCCCACUACCUACCCAAAUCCUAUAAAACGGCCCCACCCCUAUCUCCAUUCACUGACUCUUUUUGGACUCAGCCCACCUGCACCCAGGUGAAAUAAACAGCCUUGUUGCUCACACAGAACCUGUUUGGUGGUCUCUUCACACGGCGAGUGAAAUUUAG
This 1271-nucleotide long non-coding RNA is filed under the name Homo sapiens (human). RNAcentral's name for it is "PREDICTED lncRNA (TCONS_00018847)". Lineage: Eukaryota; Metazoa; Chordata; Mammalia; Primates; Hominidae. The record is from RNAcentral.